This is a non-coding RNA of Lepisosteus oculatus (spotted gar), 377 nucleotides long. Lineage: Eukaryota; Metazoa; Chordata; Actinopteri; Semionotiformes; Lepisosteidae. The record is from RefSeq and is a predicted model, not a curated record.
CUGGCACAGCCGCUGGGAGGUCUAUCUGUCUCGCCCCUGGUCCUCCUGUUGCUGGGGGCUCUGCUCUUCGUGGUGCUGGCCCUGUUAGUGGGGCAGCUGAUCCAGAAUAGGAAGCUGAGGAAAGCCCUAUCUAAGGGAGCACUCGCCCCCUAUCAUGAUGCAGUCUACAAGGAAAUAGAGUACAAACUGGCCAGAGAGGGAACCUACAGCACCCCCAGGAGAGGGAGAUUCCUCUCUGACGAGCUGCUCUACGGAUACGAUGAUGUGGAAGACAGUGAGGGAGACCCAGUACCAGGAGACUCGAUAACCUCUCUGAAAGAAGAGAUCCCAGAGUACUAUGAUGAUGCUGUAACUGUACCUCAGAGUCCAGAUGCCUU